AAGAGCAUAGAUCCCCUGUUCUUACACCCAGAGUUCCUGCCCAUCCUGUACCCAGCUCCAGGGUGGUGGACUGGCACACUGGAAAUGAUCAGCCACGGGAGGAAGGAGAUGCUGGUUUGUUUUAGAGCAGUUCCUUUGCCUCUGGAAGAUCACAGGUUUCAGAGGGAUUUCCGUCUUUUUCUGCCGCAGCUUAACAAAGACUGAGAUUUCAUAUGAACCUCUGAAUGUACAGGACCCAACAUGCACUGUGUAUAAAGGUUGGGACUGAAAUUUGAAAAGAACAUGACUCCAGACAAAAGACUCACUGAGCCUUGGUUAGCGUUGAUUUGCAAGGAUGCCUAUUGAGACACUGAAUAAGCCUUAGCUCUGAAAACAACAGUACAGCAGGGCUGAAUCACAGCAGUUCUGUUUGCAUGGCCAUUUAUGUAGCCCAGAGUUGUCUCCCACAGUUUGGGGUUCUUCACACUUUGGGUGAUCUUCCUUGGUUCCCUCUGCAGUCAAUUGGGAGAGAUGAGAGCCUCCAGGAGAUUCAUUCUUAAUUGAUCUACUGACUUCGAAUUAUGGCUAGUUCGCACUACUAUGACUACAGUCCAUUUUUAAAGCCUGGAGAACAGCAAUAUAAAUCCUCAGAUAGUGAUCAGAAGAUGUUACUGUGGGGAAAUAAAAGGUGGUGACCUGAAGUCAGGAGUAUAUGCAGGUGAAAAGGAAGCAGCUCAGAGACUGUGGCUCCAGAAGGACCAGGCAAUGGAAAACUAUCGGCCAGGUUCUUCUUUCUGCAGAGGGCAGCAAUAUGGGGAGCAGGAGCCAAUGGCCACAGCAAACCACUCAGCCAAGCCAUGGUUAUCAUCAUCUUUUGUCCUGAGUCUUCUGGUGAGAUAUGGCAGCUUGGCUGUGUGCCCUACCUCCCAUGGGCACAGCCUCCAUCUCAUUCUCGCCUGUGCCAGCCCAUGCUGCUGCUCUGCACAGCCACGCCUUCCCACCCUCCCACCUCAUUGCAGCUUCCAUAGUCCGUGCUGCAGACAUGCUUCAAAAGGUGCCAUGUAAAUGGUUUCUAAAUGAAAGGAGAGAUGAUUGGAAGAAUAGCUUGAAAAAAAUCCAUAUUAGAACAUGAGCAUAAUGUUUGUUUUACUCUUCUGCUCUGUGAGAGAUGUUGCAGUGCCACAUGUGAGCCUAGCUUAAAAAGAUCAAGAUGUCUUGAUC
Molecule: long non-coding RNA, 1200 nt
Organism: Pipra filicauda (Wire-tailed manakin)
Lineage: Eukaryota; Metazoa; Chordata; Aves; Passeriformes; Pipridae
Exons: 6
Source: RefSeq, a predicted model, not a curated record